This 462-nucleotide ribosomal RNA is filed under the name uncultured bacterium. RNAcentral's name for it is "bacterial SSU rRNA". It matches the Rfam family "Bacterial small subunit ribosomal RNA", at positions 29 to 501 of the family's 1533-position model. The record is from RNAcentral.
AACAAACGCUGGCGGCGUGCCUAAUACAUGCAAGUCGAACGGGGAAAGUUCUUCGGAAUGAGUACUAGUGGCGUACGGGUGAGCAACACGUGGAUAAUCUUCCUUCAGGUGGGGAAUAACGAGUCGAAAGAUUCGCUAAUACCGCAUAAGACCACAGUAACUUUGGUUACAGGGGUUAAAGACUUCGGUCGCCUUUAGAUGAGUCUGCGUCCGAUUAGCUAGUUGGUGAGGUAAUGGCUCACCAAGGCGACGAUCGGUAACUGGUCUGAGAGGACGGCCAGUCACACUGGGACUGAGACACGGCCCAGACUCCUACGGGAGGCAGCAGUAGGGAAUUUUGCACAAUGGAGGAAACUCUGAUGCAGCGACGCCGCGUGAGUGAUGAAGGCCUUCGGGUCGUAAAGCUCUGUUCUCUAGGGAAUAAAAAAUAGAAGGUACCUAGAGGAGAAAGGACCGGCUAAC